CGCAGUUUCAUGAUUAAAACAAUGUGAGAUAAUUAUUUUGUAGGAUAUUUGACCCCAAAAGGCCGCUACAAGCUAUCUGGUUGAUGUAAAAUAUAAAAGCCAAUUAGGUUUAUAAUUUGAAAAUCAUUUAAAGUUGUGUCAAAGUAUAACUUACUUUUCCCAAUGACAUUUGACUGAAUUGAAUGGAGAUUUACCAAAACUAAUGAAAUUUAAUCGAUAUUCAUUGGUUUUGUAUCGGUCACAAUGUUAAAGUAAGGGAAAAAAGGAGGACAUACGUAUAGUAAAAAUACUUUGUAUCGAACAUUUGAUCCUAUAAAAUUUAUAUUAGGAUUGAGGAUUAGGAUUCGUUGUAACAUCACUAAGCAUCAUUUCGUUGAUUCCAAAUUAGUACACCUUAGAACACUUACUUUUCAUCGUUGCCGGCCAUUAUGUCGUCUACCUCCACAGCGCGGAGCAGU
This is a long non-coding RNA of Drosophila eugracilis, 458 nucleotides long. RefSeq lists it as uncharacterized. The transcript is spliced from 3 exons. NCBI's taxonomy places the organism in Eukaryota, Metazoa, Arthropoda, Insecta, Diptera, Drosophilidae. The record is from RefSeq and is a predicted model, not a curated record.